GGGCACAUGGUGUAGUUGGUUAUCACGCUCGCUUAGCAACCGUACUGUGUUUGUGAUAUCACGUGACCGUCAAAUGCGAGAGGUGUUGGGUUCAAUUCCCAAUGUGUCCA
Mycena vulgaris is the source of this 110-nucleotide non-coding RNA. The record is from the annotation of a GenBank genome assembly. Lineage: Eukaryota; Fungi; Basidiomycota; Agaricomycetes; Agaricales; Mycenaceae.